Non-coding RNA from Cucurbita pepo subsp. pepo (vegetable marrow), 275 nucleotides. NCBI's taxonomy places the organism in Eukaryota, Viridiplantae, Streptophyta, Magnoliopsida, Cucurbitales, Cucurbitaceae. The record is from RefSeq and is a predicted model, not a curated record.
AGGGUGGAGUGUUGUUUAAAGGAAAUCUGCGAGGAGAGGCUGCUAAGAGCUAUGAAAAGAUAACAAAGAGAAUGCAGGAUAACUUUGGGGAUGUAUAUAAGCUUUUUCUUUUAAUUAAUCCAGAGGAUGAUAAACCUGUAGCUGUUGUUAUUCCAAGAAAGACCUUACAACCAGAGACAACAGCUGUCCCAGAAUGGUUUGCUGCCGCAGCGUUUGGACUGGUUACUGUAUUUACUCUACUUCUCCGAAAUGUCCCCGCAUUGCAAUCCAACUUA